RNAcentral lists this ribosomal RNA (389 nucleotides) under uncultured bacterium. Its description in RNAcentral is "bacterial SSU rRNA". It matches the Rfam family "Bacterial small subunit ribosomal RNA", at positions 127 to 511 of the family's 1533-position model. The record is from RNAcentral.
UGCCUGGGACCGGGGGAUAACACUCGGAAACGGACGCUAAUACCGCGUACGUCCUACGGGAGAAAGCUGGGGACCUUCGGGCCUUGCGCUAUCACAUGAGCCUAGGUCGGAUUAGCUAGUUGGUGAGGUAAUGGCUCACCAUGGCGACGAUCCGGACCCGCCCUGAGAGGAUGAUCAGGCCCACUGGAACUGAGACUCGGCCCCGACUCCUACGAGAGGCGGCCCAGGCUCAUAUUGGACAAUGGGCGAAAGCCUGAUCCAGACUUGCCGAGUGUGUGAAGAAGGACUUCCGAUUGUGAAGCACUUUAUUUUGGAAGGAAGGGCACUGACCUAAUACAAUAAUGUCUUGACGAUACCCUGAUACUAACUUGAGGGUAACUCUGUGCCAG